CACGCCGUAAACGAUGAGUGCUAGGUGUCGGAGGGGAACCUUCGGUGCCGCAGCAAACGCAAUAAGCACUCCACCUGGGGAGUACGAUCGCAAGAUUGAAACUCAAAGGAAUUGACGGGG
RNAcentral lists this ribosomal RNA (120 nucleotides) under uncultured bacterium. Its description in RNAcentral is "partial 16S ribosomal RNA". It matches the Rfam family "Bacterial small subunit ribosomal RNA", at positions 796 to 918 of the family's 1533-position model. The record is from RNAcentral.